CGUCUUAUAAUAAGAAGAAAUCUUUCUCGGUAUCAAUCCCCUUGCCCCUCAUUCUUUGAGAAUCAGAAGGAUCAUUUUCGAGUUUCCAUAGUAGUGGCCUUCGUUCGAAAGGUGAAAACAACCAGUCAAUACCUUAUUGAUUCAAAAGGGGUAGGACUACUUCCACAACUACAUUUUCGCUUAAGCAGGACAUGUGAGAUCUCGCGUACGUGCCCUUUAAGCCCAGUCAUUCCGAAGAACACUUGCCCCCCCACCCCGUCUUACCGCGGCCAAGAAUGUUUUUUUAAUCGGGACGAUAACUCUGAAAAGCAAGAUUUCCUAUCUUUUCUUUUAACUCAGGAACGCAUUUAA
RNAcentral lists this ribosomal RNA (351 nucleotides) under Triticum aestivum (bread wheat). Its description in RNAcentral is "partial small subunit ribosomal RNA". Lineage: Eukaryota; Viridiplantae; Streptophyta; Magnoliopsida; Poales; Poaceae. The record is from RNAcentral.